Molecule: ribosomal RNA, 303 nt
Filed under: uncultured bacterium
Lineage: Bacteria
Description: partial 16S ribosomal RNA
Rfam family: Bacterial small subunit ribosomal RNA
Source: RNAcentral
AGCAGUAGCCGCGGUAAUACGUAGGUGGCAAGCGUUGUCCGGAAUUAUUGGGCGUAAAGCGUGCGCAGGCGGUUAUAUAAGUCAGAUGUGAAAUCCCCGGGCUUAACCUGGGAACUGCGCUUGUGACUGCACAGCUAGAGUAUGGCAGAGGGGGGUGGAAUUCCACGUGUAGCAGUGAAAUGCGUAGAGAUGUGGAGGAACACCGAUGGCGAAGGCAGCCCCCUGGGCCAAUACUGACGCUCAUGCACGAAAGCGUGGGGAGCAAACAGGAUUAGAUACCCGCGUAGUCCCUGUCUCUUAUAC